This 494-nucleotide ribosomal RNA is filed under the name uncultured bacterium. RNAcentral describes it as "partial 16S ribosomal RNA". It matches the Rfam family "Bacterial small subunit ribosomal RNA", at positions 28 to 507 of the family's 1533-position model. The record is from RNAcentral.
GACGAACGCUGGCGGCGUGCUUAACACAUGCAAGUCGAACGGAAAGGCCUGUCCUUCCUUGUGUUGGACGGGUACUCGAGUGGCGAACGGGUGAGUAACACGUGAGUGAUCUGCCCCCAACUUGGGUAUAAGCCUGGGAAACUGGGUCUAAUUCCCGAUAGGACUGCAGGGUGGUGCCUGUGGUGGAAAACGAUUUUCUAGUGGUUGGGGAUGAGCUCGCGGCCUAUCAGCUUGUUGGUGGGGUAAUGGCCUACCAAGGCGGCGACGGGUAGCCGGCCUGAGAGGGUGGACGGCCACAUUGGGACUGAGAUACGGCCCAGACUCCUACGGGAGGCAGCAGUGGGGAAUAUUGGACAAUGGGCGGAAGGCUGAUGCAGCGACGCCGCGUGGGGGAUGACGGCCUUCGGGUUGUAAACUCCUUUCGACCGCGAGGAAGCCGCCUGGUUGGAAGGGUGGUGACGGUAGUGGUAGAAGAAGCACCGGCUAACUACGUG